GGGCCCGCACAAGCGGUGGAGCAUGUGGUUUAAUUCGAUGAUACGCGAGGAACCUUACCAGGGUUUAAAUGCAGAACGACAGGGGUGGAAACACCCCCUUCUUCGGACGGACUGCAAGGUGCUGCAUGGUUGUCGUCAGCUCGUGCUGUGAAGUGUCGGGUUAAGUCCCAUAACGAGCGCAACCCCCAUUUCUAGUUGCCAGCGGUUCGGCCGGGGACUCUAGAGAAACUGCCAGCGUAAGCUGUGAGGAAGGUGGGGAUGACGUCAAAUCAUCACGGCCCUUACAUCCUGGGCCACACACGUGCUACAAUGGUGGGGACAACAGGUUGCCAACCCGCGAGGGUGAGCCAAUCCCAAAACCCCAUCUCAGUUCGGAUCGGAGUCUGCAACUCGAGUGCAUGAAGCUGGAAUUACUAGUAAUCGUGGAUC
This 429-nucleotide ribosomal RNA is filed under the name uncultured bacterium. Its description in RNAcentral is "bacterial SSU rRNA". It matches the Rfam family "Bacterial small subunit ribosomal RNA", at positions 917 to 1350 of the family's 1533-position model. The record is from RNAcentral.